Long non-coding RNA from Aethalodelphis obliquidens (Pacific white-sided dolphin), 2925 nucleotides. RefSeq lists it as uncharacterized. The record is from RefSeq and is a predicted model, not a curated record. The transcript is spliced from 2 exons. NCBI's taxonomy places the organism in Eukaryota, Metazoa, Chordata, Mammalia, Artiodactyla, Delphinidae.
ACUUAGAAGUGUGAGUGUAGAGGAAGGAGCUUAAUUCUCUUCAGUAUAUUAAGAAAGUUUUGACCCUUGAGCCCACCUUCUUAAUCAUCGUGCUCCCUGAUCAAAGGCUCUGCCACCAGAGGACUCCUGUCGUACACUGUGAAAUUUGGUUUCACUCCUAGCAAGGUGCGUUUUGAUGUUUACAGAAAGAAGGUAAUGUGGUACAGCCUAUUUGCUUAGGCUAAUCAUCUUUCUCAAUAAAAUGGGCUUUGUGUAGUAGAUUUCAGUCAUAGUUGUGGCGGUUCAUUUCACCUGCCAAGUAAAAUUUUCUCUAGUGCAUUUGUUUUUACCCGAUUUGAGUGGAAACAAGAUUAAUCCUUACAGUCUUUAGUUCUUUGGCAGAUGAUGAGAGACUAGGUGUUUCCUUACUCAGCAGUGAUUGCAGACCUGUUGGGUUAGGAAGGGAACCUAGGAGGUCCUUUAUGUGUGUUCUUUUAAAUCUCCACAUCUCCCCCACCCCCAGCCUUUGAAGUGGUGGUGGUAUCUUCAUUUUCAGAAUAAAGAAAUAGAUUUAGGAAAGGAAAUCUUGUCCAGACUUGCAUAGUUAGCUACUAAGUGACAGAGGGAGCAUUGGAAUCCAAGUUUGGCUAUGUGUGUCUUCACUGCACUAAGGUGCCUAACCUGGAGAUGACAGGGAUUUUAAUUCAAAAGCAAUUUUGACUAUAGUGGAUUUUUUGCUUUACCUACAGACUUCACAACUCAGCCCUCAUGUAAGAAGUCUACUCAGUUUCUCUUUUUGAAUCAUGAUUUAUUGCUGCAUUCCUUAAUUGAGUAGCAGAUAAAGUAAUUGGUGUAAGUUUAAGGAUAUGUUGUGUUAGCAAAAACACAGUUUUUGAAACAUUGAAACCUAUUGUGUUUGGCCAGAUGCAGGCAGGAACUGAGUAACUAAGACAAUGCCUAAGACCUGGGCUUAGGGAUAUUGAGUUUUUGGGAGUGGGUUGGGGGGGGCUGCAAUGAAUAUGAAUGAAUGAAAUUCAAGUAGUGUGCAACUGUUUUAGUACUGAUAGAAGUACAAGUCUGUCUAGACUGACUUGCUUCCUUAGUUGAGGUUGAAAUGAAUGAGACCAAGGCUUGUUAACUUUGUUUCAUCUAGAGAAAGACUUUGUAACAAAGUCACUUACUCAGAUACAAUGUUUAGUAGUUGAUUACAGAGGAGUUAGGUGAAGACAUAAUAGAUUUGUUUCAUCUAGAGAAAGACUUUGUAACAAAGUCACUAAUUCAGAUACAAUGUUUAGUAGUUGAUUACAAAGAAGUUAGGUGAAGACAUAAUAGAUACUUAUCAUGCAGUAAAUACUUUGAUUUAAUCCUCACAAAAAUCCUAGAUCGUAAACCACAUUUUUUAGUGUUAGAAAUUGAGGCUUAAACAAGUUAAAUAACUUGCCCAAGUUUGUCCCCAGACCUUAAACACUAGGCUUUAAUAUUCAGAUAGAGUGAGGUUAGAACAACUCUAUUUUGCUGGGUUCAGUAUCCCCAGCACUGAGAACAUUGCUUGGCAUGUAGUUUUUGCUAAAAUAUUUGAACAGAUGAAGGAAUCAUAAAAUUAUUACUCGUAUAUAGAAAAGCAGUUCAGAACUUAUCUUCCGAUGGAGCAUUGGCAUUCUCUUUAACUUGGAUAACAACAGAUCUUAAUUAGGUGUGAUUAUAAGGACUUCUUUAACCUUAUUUUUAUGCUACUCUGUCUACUUGAGUGUGAGGCAGAUUGCUUCUUAACUGGCUUUGUUCUACGCAUGCUGGGAAUGCCCUCCUUCCCCAACUUGUUUGUCUAAGUCUUUUCCUUGCUUUGAACCUACUUUUUCCUUGAGUCUUCUCCCCCUUCUUAGUUCUUUGGGAAGUCCUUAGCAGAUGAGUAGUACUUGCCAACUAUAUGUACCAUUUGCUGCUGUUAAAGCCCUUUUUGGCAAUUGGAUACCUUGACCAAUCAAUGCCUAGUUUUUUCAUCCUUGCAUACAGUUGAAACUUGAAUGUUGGUGGAUUCUGUUGACAGUCAACGCAUGUAAAAUGAGAAACUUAGCACAGUGUAAUAAUAAAAAGUGUUUACCCCUAUAAUUGAAUGCUAGACUCUGGGAUUUUAGAUAAGAGUCUAGGUGUAAGAAGACAUAAAUAGAAGCAUAAUGAAUUAAUUCCUAAUUUGUGAAGCAGUGAAAUAAGUGAUAUUCUGUACCGCAGUACUGGGCAUAGAGUAGGUAUGUCAUUAAAAACUUUGUGAUUAAAAACCAUGCCACUGUGUAAGUGCCUACUUUUAAACUUGGAAACAUUUUACUUGGCCAUUCUGAUAGUUUUCAAAAUCAUAUAGUUAGGUAAGAUUAGUGUAUACUAAAAGUGGAGGUUUUGAGAUUAGCUUGAUUAGAUAAUAUUAAUUCAUAUAUCUUAAAGGAAAGAGAUUUAUCUUUCUGGGAAGAACAGCUUGAAAUAAUUAACUUGAAAUAUCCAACAUCUGGUCAAGAAAUUUUAUAAGCUAAUAGGCACGUAUUUACAAAAUGCCCUAUUUUUUAAAUAGGAAAUUUGGGAAUUAUAGGUAGUAAGUUGUAAUUAAUAGGCCUUUUUCUGGCCUUUGGAGUCAGACAGCACAGAUAACAUCUCCUUUGUGGACCAAGGGAUUGUGGAGGAAAGAACACCAUUUAGAAUGAGAACUAGUCGUAUCUGUCACUUUGCAGGAGCUUGGUCAAAUCACAUUAGUUCCCCCUGAAUUUGAAUUCUUACCGUUGUUUUUCUUAAAUAGAAAUUUCUGUAAAAGAGGCUUUUGGUGCGGGGAGUGUGUGUCCUUAUAUAUAGAACUUCAGACCUCAAGGCACAAAUGAAAGAUAUGUAGUUAUGAUAAACAGGAAACUUUUUAAAGAAUGUUUAAGAAAGCUCACAACUUGUUGGUUUUAUUAUAUUUUUUCAAAA